Molecule: small RNA, 5079 nt
Filed under: Pan troglodytes (chimpanzee)
Lineage: Eukaryota; Metazoa; Chordata; Mammalia; Primates; Hominidae
Description: retained intron
Source: RNAcentral
GGCGGGGCCUAGGCGGCGAGUGGCUGGGCGAGCGUUGCUUCGCCUGGUCCUGGCUGGGGGUAGGGGCUAGGGCCGGGUCCCGGCAUGAGCCGAAACCUGGGGUUCGAGUGGGGCGGGGAAUGGGGCACAGUGAGGCUGGGAGCCGGCCCUGAGCUUGUCUUGCGUAGGGGUAGCCAGGCUCGGGGCGCCUGAGCUGGAGGCGGAAGUGUGAAAUAAGGACUGAGUGGGCAAAGAGAACCUGGGCUGAGACAUGGCCGCUUACCAACAAGAAGGGCAGAUGCAGCUUCCCCGAGCUGAUGCCAUUCGUUCACGUCUCAUCGAUACUUUCUCUCUCAUUGAGCAUUUGCAAGGCUUGAGCCAAGCUGUGCCGCGGCACACUAUCAGGGAGUUACUUGAUCCUUCCCGCCAGAAGAAACUUGUACUGGGAGAUCAACACCAGCUAGUGCGUUUCUCUAUAAAGCCUCAACGUAUAGGACAGAUUUCACAUGCCCAGAGGCUGUUGAGCAGGUUUCAUGUGCGCUGCAGUCAGAGGCCACCUCUUUCUUUGUGGGCCGGAUGGGUCCUUGAGUGUCCUCUCUUCAAAAACUUCAUCAUCUUCCUGGUCUUUUUGAAUACGAUCGUAUUGAUGGUUGAAAUAGAAUUGCUGGAAUCCACAAAUACCAAACUAUGGCCAUUGAAGCUGACCUUGGAGGUGGCAGCUUGGUUUAUCUUGCUUAUUUUCAUCCUGGAGAUCCUUCUUAAGUGGCUAUCCAACUUUUCUGUUUUCUGGAAGAGUGCCUGGAAUGUCUUUGACUUUGUUGUUACCAUGUUGUCCCUGCUUCCCGAGGUUGUGGUAUUGGUAGGGGUAACAGGCCAAUCGGUGUGGCUUCAGCUUCUGAGGAUCUGCCGGGUGCUGAGGUCUCUCAAACUCCUUGCACAAUUCCGUCAAAUUCGAAUUAUUAUUUUGGUCCUGGUCAGGGCCCUCAAGAGCAUGACCUUCCUCUUGAUGUUGCUGCUCAUCUUCUUCUACAUUUUUGCUGUGACUGGUGUCUACGUCUUCUCAGAGUACACCCGUUCACCUCGUCAGGACCUGGAGUAUCAUGUGUUCUUCUCGGACCUCCCGAAUUCCCUGGUAACAGUGUUCAUUCUCUUCACCUUGGAUCAUUGGUAUGCACUGCUUCAGGACGUCUGGAAGGUGCCUGAAGUCAGUCGCAUCUUCAGCAGCAUCUAUUUCAUCCUUUGGUUGUUGCUUGGCUCCAUUAUCUUUCGAAGUAUCAUAGUAGCCAUGAUGGUUACUAACUUUCAGAAUAUCAGGAAAGAGCUGCAUGAGGAGAUGGCGCGUCGGGAGGUUCAGCUCAAAGCUGACAUGUUCAAGCGGCAGAUCAUCCAGAGGUCUGCUUCUCCCUUUUCAACCCCAACUUUCCUUCUCAAGGGUUUCCUGAGCUCAUUUCUUGUUCCUACUUCUUGACCCCACUUUUCCCUUUGUGACAGUAGAUUUGCCCCCAAGGAUAAGAAUUCUCCAGCUCUAGAAUAUUGCCUGAUUCUUCAUCCACUGUGGGGUGUCCUCCAUUUUUUUCACCCCUUGACUAUAAUUUGUUCUCCCCAAUUAGUUUUCUUCACUUUCUGAUAUGAACUCUUUUUUUCUUACCACACUUUUGCUUGAAUAUAACUGUCUUUGCUCUUUUUUUUUUUUUUUUUGCUCUGCAGGAGAAAAAACAUGUCGCAUGAAGCACUGACGUCAAGCCAUAGCAAAAUAGAGGACAGGUUAGGAGUAUGUGUGUGAACUGGGAUAGAAACACAUGAAGGAGGAGAGGGUGGAAAACUAAAGAUGAAGAUUGGCUUUGAGAGAUCAUUCAUUCAUUUAAUAACUGCAUAUUGUAGUAGGUUGACUAGUGGCACCCGAAAUAAUAUGUUCAUGUCCUUACUCUCUGGAACCUGUGAAUGUGACCUUAUUUGGGGAAAAAAAGAUCCUAAGUUAAGGAUCUUGAGAUGAGAUCAUCCUAGAUUAUCCAGGUAGGUCCUAAAUCCAAUGGCAAGGGUACUUAUAAAAGAUGAAAGAGGAGAAGACACAGAGAAUAAGAGAAGGCAAUGUGAAGAUGGAGAUAGAGGUUGGGGCUAAUGCCACCGCAAGCCAAGGGAAGCUGAGGAAUGCCAGGCAGCUGCCAGAAGGUAGAAGAUGCAAGGAACUUCUCCCCUAAAGCCUCCAGAGGGAAUAUGGCCCUGCCAACACCUUCAUUUCAGACUCUAGCCUCUAGAAUUGUGACGGAAUAUAUUUCUGUCAUUUUAAGCUACCAAGUUUAUAGUAAUUUGUUAUGGCAGCCACAGGACACUAAUACAAAUACCUUCCAUGAAACAGAUAUGAUUCUAGACCCCAAGUGUUUAGCAGUGGACAAAAAAAGCAGAAGCGGAAGUAAACUCAUUCACUCAUUAACAAAUAAUUACUGGCUAGAUGAGGUGGAUUAUACUUGUAAUCCCAACACUUUGAGAGGUGAAGGCAAGAGGAUUGCUUGAAGUUCAAGCCAGAAGUUCAAGACUGCAUUGAGACAUGAUUGCACCACUAUACUCCAGCCUGGGCAACAGAGCAAGAUCCCAUCUCAAAAAUUUAGCAGGGUGGGUGCGGUGACUCAUGCCUGUAAUACCAGCAUUUUGGAAAACAGGUGGGCAGAUGACUUGAGCUCAGGAGUUCGAGACUAAACUAGGCAAUAUGGUAAAAUCCUGUCUCUAUGAACAAAAAUUAGCUGGAUGUGGUGGUGUGUUCCUGUGGUCCCAGCUACUUAGGAGGCUGAGGUGGGAGGACUGCUUGAGCUGAGAGGUUGAGGCUGUGGUGAGCCGUGAUUGUGCCACUGCUCUGCAGCCUGGGUGACAGAGCAAGACCCUGUCUCAAAAAAAAAAAACAAAAAACAAUAAAGAACAAAUAAUUAUUGAAUACUUAGUAGGUGCUUGGGAUGUUAUCAGUGAACAAAAUAGACAAUAAUGCCUGCUUCAUGGAGCUUACAUAUUAGUAGUGGUAAAGAGAUAAUAAGCAGUGAAUAUAUUAAGUAAAUUAAUCUGUUAAAAUAUGAUAAGCAUUAUGGGAAAAUUAAAAGUAGAACAGGUUAAGGGAGAUUGGGAGUAGAAGGUGGGAUUGCAGAUGGGUUGUAGGUUUUUUUUUUUUUUUUUUUUUUUUUUUUUUUUUUGAGGCAGAGUCUCGCUCUGUCACCAGGCUGGAGUGCAGUGGCACGAUAUCGGCUCACUGCAACCUCCGCCUCCUAGGUUCAAGCGAUUCUCCUGCCUCAGCCUCCCAAGUAGCUGGGACUACAGGUGCCUGCCACCAUGCCUGGCUAAUUUAUUUAUUUAUUUUUUUGUAUUUUAGUAGAGACGAGGUUUCACCAUGUUGCCCAGGCUGGUCUCAAACUCCUGAGCUCAGGCACUCCACCCGCCUCAGCCUCCAACAGUGUUAGGAUUACAGGCGUGAGCCAUCGUGCCCAGCUGCAGAUGGGUUGUAGUUUUAAACAGGGUAGUCACGGUGACCUCAUUGAAAAGGUAAUGUGAGCAAAGACUUGAGGUAAGGGGAUUACCAUGUGGAUAUCUGUAAGAAGAGUGUUAAUAGGCAGAUGAAACAGUGCAAAGCUCCGAAGCUGGAAGCAUGCUUGGUUUGUUUGAGAAACAGCAGAGGCCGUUGUGACUGGAGUAGAGUGAGCAGGGGGAAGAGUGCUGGGAAAUGAAGUCAGAGAGAGAAUGGUGACCUGAUCCUGUAGGGUUAUGGGUGCCAUUAUAGGGACUUUGAAAUGGCAAGCAGAACAGAGGGGUGACAUGAAGUGACUUACGUUUAAGAAGGAUUACUCUGGUUGCUGUGUUGAUAGAAGAACAAGGGAAGGAGCAGAGAGAUCAGUUGGGAGGCUAUGCUGCUGCCCAGGCAAGAAAUGAUGACAGCUUAGGCCAGAGUGGUGGCAGUGAGUUAGUGAGAAAAGAUAUAUUUCGAAGGUGGAGUCAGCAGGAUUUCUUGAUGGACUGGAUAUGGGAGGGGAGAGAAGAGUUAAGGAUGACACAUGAAUGAUUGAGGUUGGAAGUGCCUGAGUUUAGAGUUUGGGAGUAGUUUGGCCCUCAUUGUCUUAUGCCCCAGCUUUAGGGGGUGGCCAGGGGCAGAACUAGAAUAAUGAGUGGACUAGUCAUAUCUUGUAAAUGUUUGUGAAGCCAUACAUUUCUCCUUUCUGUUCAAGAGGAGCUAGUCAACAAAGGGAAAGUUUGGACUUAUCAGAAGUGUCUGAAGUAGAGUCUAAUUAUGGUGCCACUGAAGAGGAUUUAAUAACAUCUGCAUCAAAAACAGAAGAGACCUUGUCAAAAAAGAGAGAGUACCAGUCUUCCUCCUGUGUCUCCUCCACAUCCUCUUCCUAUUCUUCCUCUUCUGAAUCCAGAUUUUCUGAAUCUAUUGGUGAGCCGAAGAACUAUAAUAAUGAGUUUUUUCCAUUUGAAUUCAGACUCCUCUUUAAGACAUCUUAGUCUUAACAGGAGCUCUCCUACUAUAUCUCCUUUCCAAUUUUCUGGUCUUAAUUACUUUCUUUUUGCUUCUUAAUUUCCCCUGUACUUCUUCUUCACUUCGGGUAAGUGUGGCUGUGGCCCUCUUUGCUCGUUGUAAAAAGUGGUUUCUUACUGAUGCACCCUUUCCCUCCUUGCUUCCUGUUACCUCUUUCCACCCCACCUUUCCACCCACACCAUAGGAUUUACCAGCUUUUACCCAACUUUUACAAAUCUAGACGUGCUUUUCUGAAGCAUUCCUCCCUGCAGGUCGUUUGGACUGGGAGACUCUUGUGCACGAAAAUCUGCCCGGGCUAAUGGAAAUGGAUCAGGAUGACCGUGUUUGGCCCAGAGACUCACUCUUCCGAUAUUUUGAGUUGCUAGAAAAGCUUCAGUAUAACCUAGAGGAACGUAAGAAGUUACAAGAGUUUGCAGUGCAGGCACUGAUGAACUUGGAAGACAAGUAAAGCAAUGGAUGGCUUCAAUAUCCUUGGGCCCAGCAAAAGAUAAUGAAGGGAAUUGUUGGAAAUAGAGAAUUGAAAAUAUAAACAUUCAGAUAGAACAAUGUCUGUUCAUUAAAAUUAAAAAGUAUAAGUGUCUAGGCCA